GGGUUGUGAGGUUAAGCGACUAAGCGUACACGGUGGAUGCCCUGGCAGUCAGAGGCGAUGAAGGACGUGCUAAUCUGCGAAAAGCGCCGGCGAGGUGAUAUGAACCUUUGACCCGGCGAUGUCCGAAUGGGGAAACCCAGUGCAAUCCGUUGCACUAUCGUUAACUGAAUACAUAGGUUAACGAGGCGAACCGGGGGAACUGAAACAUCUAAGUACCCCGAGGAAAAGAAAUCAACCGAGAUUCCCCCAGUAGCGGCGAGCGAACGGGGAGCAGCCCGGAGUCUGAAUCAGCUUGUGUGUUAGUGGAACGGUCUGGAAAGUCCGACGGUACAGGGUGAUAGUCCCGUACACGAAAGCACACAUGCUGUGAACUCGAAGAGUAGGGCGGGACACGUGGUAUCCUGUCUGAAUAUGGGGGGACCAUCCUCCAAGGCUAAAUACUCCUGACUGACCGAUAGUGAACCAGUACCGUGAGGGAAAGGCGAAAAGAACCCCGGCGAGGGGAGUGAAAAAGAACCUGAAACCGUGUACGUACAAGCAGUGGGAGCCUCUUUAUGGGGUGACUGCGUACCUUUUGUAUAAUGGGUCAGCGACUUAUAUUCUGUAGCAAGGUUAACCGUAUAGGGGAGCCGAAGGGAAACCGAGUCUUAACUGGGCGUUAAGUUGCAGGGUAUAGACCCGAAACCCGGUGAUCUAGCCAUGGGCAGGUUGAAGGUUGGGUAACACUAACUGGAGGACCGAACCGACUAAUGUUGAAAAAUUAGCGGAUGACCUGUGGCUGGGGGUGAAAGGCCAAUCAAACCGGGAGAUAGCUGGUUCUCCCCGAAAGCUAUUUAGGUAGCGCCUCGUGAACUCAUCUUCGGGGGUAGAGCACUGUUUCGGCUAGGGGGCCAUCCCGGCUUACCAACCCGAUGCAAACUACGAAUACCGAAGAAUGUUAUCACGGGAGACACACGGCGGGUGCUAACGUCCGUCGUGAAGAGGGAAACAACCCAGACCGCCAGCUAAGGUCCCAAAGUCAUGGUUAAGUGGGAAACGAUGUGGGAAGGCACAGACAGCCAGGAUGUUGGCUUAGAAGCAGCCAUCAUUUAAAGAAAGCGUAAUAGCUCACUGGUCGAGUCGGCCUGCGCGGAAGAUGUAACGGGGCUAAACCAUGCACCGAAGCUGCGGCAGCGACACUAUGUGUUGUUGGGUAGGGGAGCGUUCUGUAAGCCGUUGAAGGUGUGCUGUGAGGCAUGCUGGAGGUAUCAGAAGUGCGAAUGCUGACAUAAGUAACGAUAAAGCGGGUGAAAAG
Molecule: ribosomal RNA, 1294 nt
Filed under: Enterobacter cloacae
Lineage: Bacteria; Pseudomonadati; Pseudomonadota; Gammaproteobacteria; Enterobacterales; Enterobacteriaceae
Description: bacterial LSU rRNA
Rfam family: Bacterial large subunit ribosomal RNA
Source: RNAcentral